RNAcentral lists this transfer RNA (68 nucleotides) under Progne chalybea. RNAcentral's name for it is "tRNA-Phe". It matches the Rfam family "tRNA". From Rfam's summary of the family: Transfer RNA (tRNA) molecules are approximately 80 nucleotides in length. Their secondary structure includes four short double-helical elements and three loops (D, anti-codon, and T loops). Lineage: Eukaryota; Metazoa; Chordata; Aves; Passeriformes; Hirundinidae. The record is from RNAcentral.
GUCCCUGUAGCUUAAACAAAGCAUGGCACUGAAGAUGCCAAGAUGGACGCCACAAGCCCCCAAGGACA